Molecule: ribosomal RNA, 691 nt
Filed under: uncultured Bacilli bacterium
Lineage: Bacteria; Bacillati; Bacillota; Bacilli
Description: bacterial SSU rRNA
Rfam family: Bacterial small subunit ribosomal RNA
Source: RNAcentral
AAGGAGGAGCUUGCUUCUCUGGAUGAGUUGCGAACGGGUGAGUAACGCGUAGGUAACCUGCCUGGUAGCGGGGGAUAACUAUUGGAAACGAUAGCUAAUACCGCAUAAUAGCAGUUGUUGCAUGACAGCUGUUUGAAAGGUGCAAUCGCACCACUACCAGAUGGACCUGCGUUGUAUUAGCUAGUUGGUGGGGUAACGGCUCACCAAGGCGACGAUACAUAGCCGACCUGAGAGGGUGAUCGGCCGCACUGGGACUGAGACACGGCCCAGACUCCUACGGGAGGCAGCAGUAGGGAAUCUUCGGCAAUGGACGGAAGUCUGACCGAGCAACGCCGCGUGAGUGAAGAAGGUUUUCGGAUCGUAAAGCUCUGUUGUAAGAGAAGAACGAGUGUGAGAGUGGAAAGUUCACACUGUGACGGUAUCUUACCAGAAAGGGACGGCUAACUACGUGCCAGCAGCCGCGGUAAUACGUAGGUCCCGAGCGUUGUCCGGAUUUAUUGGGCGUAAAGCGAGCGCAGGCGGUUAGAUAAGUCUGAAGUUAAAGGCUGUGGCUUAACCAUAGUACGCUUUGGAAACUGUUUAACUUGAGUGCAAGAGGGGAGAGUGGAAUUCCAUGUGUAGCGGUGAAAUGCGUAGAUAUAUGGAGGAACACCGGUGGCGAAAGCGGCUCUCUGGCUUGUAACUGACGCUG